Molecule: ribosomal RNA, 455 nt
Filed under: uncultured cyanobacterium
Lineage: Bacteria; Bacillati; Cyanobacteriota
Description: bacterial SSU rRNA
Rfam family: Bacterial small subunit ribosomal RNA
Source: RNAcentral
GAUGAACGCUGGCGGUAUGCUUAACACAUGCAAGUCGAACGGGUGUCUUCGGACAUUAGUGGCGGACGGGUGAGUAACGCGUGAGAAUCUGGCUCUAGGUCGGGGACAACAGUUGGAAACGACUGCUAAUACCGGAUAUGCCGCAAGGUGAAAGAUUAAUUGCCUGGAGAUGAGCUCGCGUCCGAUUAGCUAGUUGGUGGGGUAAGAGCCUACCAAGGCGACGAUCGGUAGCUGGUCUGAGAGGACGAUCAGCCAUACUGGGACUGAGACACGGCCCAGACUCCUACGGGAGGCAGCAGUGGGGGAAUUUUCCGCAAUGGGCGAAAGCCUGACGGAGCAAUACCGCGUGAGGGAGGAAGGCUCUUGGGGUUGAAAACCUCUUUUCUGAAGGAAGAAAAAAUGACGGUACUUCAGGAAUCAGCAUCGGCUAACUCCGUGCCAGCAGCCGCGGUAAU